AGAGUUUGAUCCUGGCUCAGGAUGAACGCUAGCUACAGGCUUAACACAUGCAAGUCGAGGGGCAGCAUGGUCUUAGCUUGCUAAGGCCGAUGGCGACCGGCGCACGGGUGAGUAACACGUAUCCAACCUGCCGUCUACUCUUGGACAGCCUUCUGAAAGGAAGAUUAAUACAAGAUGGCAUCAUGAGUCCGCAUGUUCACAUGAUUAAAGGUAUUCCGGUAGACGAUGGGGAUGCGUUCCAUUAGAUAGUAGGCGGGGUAACGGCCCACCUAGUCUUCGAUGGAUAGGGGUUCUGAGAGGAAGGUCCCCCACAUUGGAACUGAGACACGGUCCAAACUCCUACGGGAGGCAGCAGUGAGGAAUAUUGGUCAAUGGGCGAGAGCCUGAACCAGCCAAGUAGCGUGAAGAAUGACUGCCCUAUGGGUUGUAAACUUCUUUUAUAAAGGAAUAAAGUCGGGUAUGGAUACCCGUUUGCAUGUACUUUAUGAAUAAGGAUCGGCUAACUCCGUGCCAGCAGCCGCGGUAAUACGGAGGAUCCGAGCGUUAUCCGGAUUUAUUGGGUUUAAAGGGAGCGUAGAUGGAUGUUUAAGUCAGUUGUGAAAGUUUGCGGCUCAACCGUAAAAUUGCAGUUGAUACUGGAUAUCUUGAGUGCAGUUGAGGCAGGCGGAAUUCGUGGUGUAGCGGUGAAAUGCUUAGAUAUCACGAAGAACUCCGAUUGCGAAGGCAGCCUGCUAAGCUGCAACUGACAUUGAGGCUCGAAAGUGUGGGUAUCAAACAGGAUUAGAUACCCUGGUAGUCCACACGGUAAACGGUG
Molecule: ribosomal RNA, 814 nt
Filed under: uncultured bacterium
Lineage: Bacteria
Description: bacterial SSU rRNA
Rfam family: Bacterial small subunit ribosomal RNA
Source: RNAcentral